CCCGCAACGAGCGCAACCCUUAAGCUUAGUUGCCAUCAUUAAGUUGGGCACUCUAAGUUGACUGCCGGUGACAAACCGGAGGAAGGUGGGGAUGACGUCAAAUCAUCAUGCCCCUUAUGAUUUGGGCUACACACGUGCUACAAUGGACAAUACAAAGGGCAGCGAAACCGCGAGGUCAAGCAAAUCCCAUAAAGUUGUUCUCAGUUCGGAUUGUAGUCUGCAACUCGACUACAUGAAGCUGGAAUCGCUAGUAAUCGUAGAUCA
Molecule: ribosomal RNA, 264 nt
Filed under: Escherichia coli
Lineage: Bacteria; Pseudomonadati; Pseudomonadota; Gammaproteobacteria; Enterobacterales; Enterobacteriaceae
Description: partial 16S ribosomal RNA
Rfam family: Bacterial small subunit ribosomal RNA
Source: RNAcentral